Molecule: ribosomal RNA, 253 nt
Filed under: uncultured bacterium
Lineage: Bacteria
Description: partial 16S ribosomal RNA
Rfam family: Bacterial small subunit ribosomal RNA
Source: RNAcentral
UACAGAGGGGGCGAGCGUUGUUCGGAAUUACUGGGCGUAAAGGGCGCGCAGGCGGCUCUUCAAGUCAGAUGUGAAAGCCCCGGGCUCAACCUGGGAACUGCAUUUGAGACUGGAGAGCUUGAGUUCGGGAGAGGAGAGCGGAAUUCCCAGUGUAGAGGUGAAAUGCGUAGAUACUGGGAGGAACACCGGUGGCGAAGGCGGCUACCUGGACCGGUUCUGACACUGAUGCGCGAAAGCGUGGGUAGCAAACAGG